GUGUCAGCCGCCGCGGUAAUACGUAGGUGGCAAGCGUUGUCCGGAAUUAUUGGGCGUAAAGCGCGCGCAGGCGGUUUCUUAAGUCUGGUGUGAAAGCCCCCGGCUCAACCGGGGAGGGUCAUUGGAAACUGGGGAACUUGAGUGCAGAAGAGGAGAGUGGAAUUCCACGUGUAGCGGUGAAAUGCGUAGAGAUGUGGAGGAACACCAGUGGCGAAGGCGACUCUCUGGUCUGUAACUGACGCUGAGGCGCGAAAGCGUGGGGAGCGAACAGGAUUAGAUACCCUGGUAGUCCACGCCGUAAACGAUGAGUGCUAAGUGUUAGAGGGUUUCCUCCCUUUAGUGCUGCAGCAAACGCAUUAAGCACUCCGCCUGGGGAGUACGGUCGCAAGACUGAAACUCAAAGGAAUUGGCGGGG
RNAcentral lists this ribosomal RNA (415 nucleotides) under uncultured prokaryote. RNAcentral's name for it is "bacterial SSU rRNA". It matches the Rfam family "Bacterial small subunit ribosomal RNA", at positions 505 to 918 of the family's 1533-position model. The record is from RNAcentral.